Long non-coding RNA from Zea mays, 1865 nucleotides. RefSeq lists it as uncharacterized. Lineage: Eukaryota; Viridiplantae; Streptophyta; Magnoliopsida; Poales; Poaceae. The record is from RefSeq and is a predicted model, not a curated record. The transcript has 3 exons.
UAAUUUGAUUUGUAUAAAUUUAGUUCUAUAUUGCUUGUUGGCAAAUAAUUUUGUCGAAUAUUUUGUAUGCCGUUGCAAAGCACGGGCACCUAACUAGUUACAAUCUGAAAUUUAAGACACAUUUUAUACUAGUAUUGAGUAAACAUUUAGUUAGAACUACCUGCCAAUCUCCGCUGGUGCAUUAUUCCUUGCUUGUCGUUACUAGCUGCUGAUUAUUCUUGAUCGUGUUCUUGAAAACACUAAUUUGUACAAUGUAACAGCCAGCUGUGUCUCAGGAACUCCAAGUAUGGAGCACAAUACUUGCUUGAACAAUAUCUGUUGUUUUGCUGUCCUAUCUUCUUUCUACUGAAGAUCACUUUAAUGUAUAUGUAGAUUAAGAAGAUCAUGCACAAGCUGUGGCAGUAUAAGGUUUCAUAGAAGUGGAAAGAUCAAACAAAAAUUUGGGAUUGUUAGCUCAGAGGAUAUGGCUGAGCAUGCUUAUGAAGAUAGAUACGCUAAUGUUGAUUUAGUUUGUGCUCUAUGCGACAAUGGAGGUAAAAUUGUAAGGUGUGUGUGCACUUUACCUAGUUUUUUAUCUGCUGUCUAGAUACGCUAAUGUUGAUUUAGUUUGUGCUCUAUGCGACAAUGGAGGUGAAAUUGUAAGGUGUGUGUGCACUUUACCCAAUUUUUUAUCUGCUGUCCAUUAUGCAUUUCCUGCCAAGAUAAGUAAAAUAUUCAGAAUGCUCCAUGACUGAUUUAGUCCAUUUGUUGAGAUAAUGCUGCCUUUUUCAGAAUGCUCCAUGACUGAUGUACUGCAACAGUUAAACUAAGAAUUGUGCUAGAGUUCCAGCAGAAUUGAAAGAAAAUUAUCUAGAUGUCCUGGACUGAUGGUUUUUGUAUUAAAAAAGCAUUUAUGACUCCACGCUUUGUCUAAAAGACAAUUCUCUAGCUGUCAAGUUUUUGUUUCAUUAUUUGAAGGCCACAAUUUGUCCUUUGGUUCAUUGUGGUUCAGUUGUCAAAAAUGAAAUUUAAUGCAUAUGGACUGAAUUGCCUGGUACAUGUUUGUUGUAAUAACAAAUAAUGAAAUAACCAUAGAACCAUACAGAAAAAACCAUCUUACCCUGUUUUUUUGUCCUUGUGUUCGUUGUAUGAGGACUGCAGCUUCCAGAGUCCUCAAGAAAACUGAUCCAGAUCUUGACAACAUUGGUUGGCCUUAUUGCUGUUUUUGUGAUCUUUUGGUGCUAAUUACCUCAUGUGUUUUCAAUUAUAAAAAUAAUAGACAAAACAAAUGAUCAUGAUUUAGAAAGAUGAAGUAAUAUAGUGAUUUCUUUUUGCACAUAUAUUUUCAUUGGUUCAGGAAAUCAUGUCCUUUAUAAGAUCAUAUGUCGUGUCCGAAGGCAUUGCAGAUAGUGUCACACCUUCAUAUGUUUGAACUUUCAACCUAAGAAAUUAUGAAUUGUUUAGCCUCCCUUUUUUGUUGUGCUCAUCUCACCUGGUGGUUUGUUUCCUGGUUCUGCGAACAGGGGGUGGAGUACAUCGCUGGCGACGAACAGCAGCCAUGGGGAGGGUGCGUUCUGUCUCUAUCUGUACCUACUCUGCUGGAGUACUGGGCAAACGAUAAAUGGACAACAUCGUCACCAUUUAUCAGGGAAGCUGGAGGUUACUGAAAUUUUCAAUUUUUCACAAGAUGAUUUGUUGACCGAAGGCAUGAUGAUACUUGAUACACACUGAGGUUUUUGUCUAGAUGGGUCAGUGUGUUGAGACAAAAGAAAAACAGAAAGCAUUUGAGAUUUGACGUUACGCUGUCUUCUAUUCCAUAAACGAACUAAGGUGUAUAUUCUGCGCCAUAUUGGAAUUUAUGCAAUCAAGCCUGCUAGUUUGUUAUC